RNAcentral lists this ribosomal RNA (253 nucleotides) under uncultured bacterium. RNAcentral describes it as "partial 16S ribosomal RNA". It matches the Rfam family "Bacterial small subunit ribosomal RNA", at positions 524 to 776 of the family's 1533-position model. The record is from RNAcentral.
UACGUAGGGACCAAGCGUUGUUCGGAUUUACUGGGCGUAAAGGGCGCGUAGGCGGCGUGGUAAGUCACUUGUGAAAUCUCCGAGCUUAACUCGGAACUGCCAAGUGAUACUGCUGUGCUAGAGUGCAGAAGGGGCAACCGGAAUUCUUGGUGUAGCGGUGAAAUGCGUAGAUAUCUGGAGGAACACCGGUGGCGAAGGCGGCAUCCUGGACCGGCAUUGACGCUGAGGCGCGAAAGCCAGGGGAGCAAACGGG